CAACUAUAUAUGAGGAUCCAUCCGAUCCUAAUCGUAAACGUGGACGUGAAUCUAAACAUUAUUAGACUGUUGAUGCCAUAGAUGAAUACGAAGAUAGUACACGCCUUCAUUUAUUAGCGAAGGAUGUGCAUAAUUUGCCAGAAGGUUUGCGCAUAGUUGUCAAUUUUGAUAAACAUCAUUCAGCAAUAGGAGAAGUAGUUGGACUCCUUGCAGGAGUUUGUGGACAAUUGGCCACUGAUUGUGUAGCAUUUCCAAUCAGUUUUGAAAAGUGGUCAGACAUUCCAGCAAGCUUUUUUGAAAAUCAAUGGAAUAUUUUUUUCCUAGCUCGAUUUUGCUUCAAAGUGAGUGAUAACUUGUCCAAACGUUUUUUGCUCCAAUCGCUUGGC
Arachis ipaensis is the source of this 386-nucleotide non-coding RNA. The record is from RefSeq and is a predicted model, not a curated record. NCBI's taxonomy places the organism in Eukaryota, Viridiplantae, Streptophyta, Magnoliopsida, Fabales, Fabaceae.